UACGAAGGGGGCGAGCGUUGUUCGGAUUUACUGGGCGUAAAGGGCGCGCAGGCGGCUAGUUUUGUCGAGUGUGAAAGCCCCGGGCUUAACCUGGGAACUGCGCUCGAAACGGGCUGGCUAGAGAUCGGGAGAGGAGAGUGGAAUUCCCAGUGUAGAGGUGAAAUUCGUAGAUAUUGGGAGGAACACCGGUGGCGAAGGCGGCGACCUGGGUCGAGACUGACGCUGAGGCGCGAAAGCGUGGGGAGCAAACAGG
RNAcentral lists this ribosomal RNA (253 nucleotides) under uncultured bacterium. RNAcentral describes it as "partial 16S ribosomal RNA". It matches the Rfam family "Bacterial small subunit ribosomal RNA", at positions 524 to 776 of the family's 1533-position model. The record is from RNAcentral.